Medicago truncatula (barrel medic) is the source of this 4374-nucleotide RNA transcript. It is a transcript of the gene named disease resistance protein RUN1, with no coding region annotated. The record is from RefSeq and is a predicted model, not a curated record. The transcript has 7 exons. NCBI's taxonomy places the organism in Eukaryota, Viridiplantae, Streptophyta, Magnoliopsida, Fabales, Fabaceae.
CCCUAAUUUAGGGAGUUUUUAGGAUAUAUAACCCGGCAAAUUAAAGGAAGUUCAUGCAAUUUUUUAUUUUUCUUAAGGAGGUAUUUUUACAAGUGGUUUAUUUUUCAAAUGAACUAUUUGUAAAUUUUUGUUCAUUAAAAAGUAUACUACUGUAGUUUGCUAUACCUUGUCGAUUCUGAGCUGAUUGAUAAUUUAUGUGGUCCUAAAUUCUCAUCCGUACUGAUAUUAUGUUAAUAGUCAAAAAGGAGGUCCCAUAUGGCUAAUACUAAUUAACGCAAUGUAUAUGCCAUUUUCUUAUUCUCCAGUUCUUUGAUCUCCAAGACACAAACACAUACAAUCUUUGAUUUCUUUACAUGGCUUUUAGAGAAUCUUCAUCUUCAUCUUCUUCUUUCUUCAGUUAUGGAUUCACCUACGAUGUGUUCCUCAGCUUUAGAGGCUUAGACACUCGCUAUGGUUUUACUGGAAAUCUCUACAAAGCUCUUUAUGAUAAGGGAAUCCACACCUUUAUUGACGAUGAAGAACUUCAAAGAGGACAUGAAAUCACACCAUCACUUUUAGAGGCAAUUGAAGAGUCUAGGAUUGCCAUUAUUGUGCUCUCUAAAAACUAUGCUUCUUCUUCAUUUUGCUUACAUGAACUUGUCAAGAUCCUUGACUGCAUUAAGGGAAAAGGUAGGUUGGUUUGGCCAAUCUUUUAUGAUGUUGAUCCUUCUGAUGUGAGGAAGCAGACAGGAUCUUACGGUGAAGCUUUAGCUAUGCUUGGAGAGAGAUUCAAUGAUAAUAACUUGCAAAUAUGGAAGAAUGCUUUGCAACAAGUAGCUAACUUGUCUGGAUGGCAUUUCAAAAUUGGGGAUGGAUAUGAGUACGAGUUUAUUGGAAAGAUUGUUGAACAUGUUUCCAAGAAGAUGAAUCGUGUUGCUUUACCCGUUGCUGACUACCCAGUUGGACUAGAGCCUCAAGUUCUAGAAAUAAAUUCACUUCUUGAUAUCGGGUCCGAUGAUGAGGUAAACAUGAUUGGGAUCCAUGGAAGUGGAGGGAUAGGUAAAACAACACUUGCUCUGGCUGUUUAUAAUCUGAUUGCCGAUCACUUUGAAGCUUUGUGUUUUCUUGAAAAUGUGAGAGAAAAUUCAAAUAAACACGGGUUACAACAUCUCCAAAAGAUUCUUCUUUCAGAAACCCUUGGAGAAAAGAAAAUUAAGUUAACAAGUGUCAAACAAGGAAUUUCAAUAAUAAAGCACAGACUCCAACAAAAAAAGGUUCUUUUGAUUCUAGAUGAUGUUGAUAAAAUAGAACAACUGGAGGCCUUGGUUGGAGGAUUCUAUUGGCUUGGUUCUGGAAGCAGAGUUAUUAUUACAACUAGGGACAAACAUUUGUUGUCAAGUCACGGGGUUAAGAGAACAUAUGAAGUAAAUGUGUUAAACGAGAAAGAUGCUCUUCGGUUGCUUACAUGGAAAGCUUUUAAAACAGAAGUAUUUCAUCCUAGUUAUUUUGAUGUCUUGAAGCGUGCAGUAGGUUAUGCUUCUGGACUUCCAUUGGCUUUGAUAGUUAUUGGUUCCAAUUUAUUUGGAAAGAAUAUACAAGAAUGGGAAUCUGCAUUACAUCGAUAUGAAAUCAUUCCAAAUAAAGAGAUCCAAAAUAUACUCAAAGUAAGUUUUGAUGCUUUGGAGGAAGAUGAGAAAAGUGUUUUUCUUGACAUGGCUUGUAUCUACAUAGGAAAAGAGUAUCAAUUGGCAAAUAUGGAAAAUAUGCUUUAUGCUCAUUUUGAUGCUUGCAUGAAAUAUCAUAUUGGAGUAUUGGUUGAAAAAUCUCUCAUAAAGAUUAGUUGGACAGGUAAGUACAUUGUACAUGACUUGAUUGGGGACAUGGCUAAAGAAAUUGUUAGAUUGGAAUCACCAGACGAACCUGGAAAACGUAGUCGAUUAUGGUUUCACGAAGAUAUAAUUCAAGUUUUAGAAGACAAUUCAGGGACAAGCGCGAUUAAAUCCAUAUACCUGAUGGAGUGUGAUGAUGAGGUAGAAUUGGAUGAAUCGGCCUUCAAGAAUAUGAAAAACCUAAAAACACUUAUUAUCAAAGGUGGCCAUUUCUCCAAAGGACCCAAACAUCUUCCAAAUAGUUUAAGAGUAGUGGAAUGGUGGAAUUAUCCUUCAGAAUAUUUUCCAUAUGAUUUUAAUCCAAAGAAACUUGCCAUAUUCGAGUUACCAAAAAGUAGCUUAAUGUCACUCAAGUUGACUGACUUAAUGAAGAAGUUCUUGAAUAUGAAGAUUUUGAAUUUUGAUGACGCGGAAUUUUUAACAGAAAUACCUGAUACAUCUUCUCUUUUAAAUUUAGAAUUAUUUUCAUUUAAACGUUGUAAGAAUUUAACUACAAUUCACGAAUCGGUUGGGUUCUUGGAAAAACUUAAGGUCUUGAGUGCCCAAGGUUGCCGUAAGCUUAGGAAAUUUCCACCUAUCAAAUUGAUAUCCCUUGAAGAACUCAAUGUUUCAUUUUGCACAAAUCUCGAGAGUUUUCCAGAAAUAUUAGGAAAGAUGGAAAAUAUGAAAAACCUUGUGUUGGAGGAAACUUCCUUUAAAGAAAUGCCAAAUUCAUUUCAAAAUCUCACUCAUCUCCAAACAUUGCAGCUGCGUUGUUGUGGAGUGUUCAAGUUGCCAAGUUGCAUUCUCACGAUGCCAAAACUAGUUGAAAUAAUUGGCUGGGUUUCAGAAGGAUGGCAAUUCCCAAAAUCAGAUGAGGCUGAAGAUAAAGUGAGCUCAAUGGUUCCUUCAAACGUAGAAUCUCUUCGUCUUACAUUCUGCAAUCUCUCAGAUGAAUUUGUUCCAAUAAUUCUCACAUGGUUUGUUAAUGUGAAAGAAUUACACUUAGCCCAUAAUAAUUUCACAAUUCUCCCAGAAUGCAUAAAAGAAUGUCAUUUGUUAAGGGUACUUUGCGUGGAUGAAUGCCAUUAUCUUCAAGAAGUUAGAGGAAUAGCGCCAAACUUGAAAAUAUUGUAUGCACGAGGAUGCAAAUCUUUGACCUGUACAGAAAUGUUUAUGAAUCAGGAAUUGCAUGAAGCUGGAAGUACCAUGUUUUAUUUGCCAAGAUCAAGAAUUCCAGAUUGGUUUGAGCACUGUAGCAGCAAUGGGUCAAGUUUCUUUUGGUUCCGUAACAAGUUCCCUGCUAUAGCACUUUGUCUUGUUCCCAGUUCGAUAUUUGUCGAAUCUACAAUCUAUCCCAUCGUGAUCAUCAAUGGCAAUGAAUGUAAACUUGACUCUAGGGACAGAUUUCCCCAUUUGUCCGUUGAACCAGAUCAUACAUAUAUUUUUGAUCUUCAAAUGAUAAAAUUCGAAGAUAAUUUGGAUGAAGCACUUUUAGAAGAUGAAUGGAACCAUGUGGAGAUUAUGUAUCAAGGUGAAAACAAUGCCCUAGUCCCCAUUGAAAGUGGAAUCCAUGUAUUCAAACAGAAGUGUAUCACAGAUGAUAUUCGAUUCACGGACCCUUGAAGAAUAAGAAAUCAGAAAUCUCCAAGGUAAAUUAUCUUGUUGUGUGUUUUCACUUUAACUAGUUUUAGUUUCCCUAUCAUAUAUGAUUUUUAAUGUUAUUGAUUAUGGUUGGUUGUGUUGUAUCAAAUAUAUGGAAUUGAUGCAUUUUCUGGAGCUGUUGUUAUUGCUUAAAGUAGAGCACCAAGGGGUCAUGUGCUGCUUCUGGUGCUAAAGUUUGUAUGAUUCUAGACCUUCUUGGCGAUUUGGGCUCUGUAACUGGAGUUGAUGCUGCAAGGCAUCGGUUGGCAGUAUGUAUAACAAUUCUGCAGAAAUAUAAAGCCGGCUUUUUGCUGCCGAUGGAACAAUAUUAUUGGUUAUUUUCGGGGGGUUUCGUUCUGAUUUUGAAUCAUGCGAGUCUAGAUUGAAAGAAAAAAUGGAUGUGUUCAAAGAGUGGACAUCUAGAUGACCAUGGAAAGAGAGGAAAAGAACAAAGGAGUGUGGCACUCCACAAGUGGUGUCUAGAAUUAUGCAAGACUGUAUCUGAAAAUGAGACUGAACUUCACUUUGAAUUCAUCUUGCAUAGUUUUUCGCUUUCGUUCACACUUAAAAUUUUAUCAUCUGUUUCUGUUGGGAUUUGAUUCAGGUCCUUGUGGAUGCAGAAUGCACUCAUGAUGGUUCAGUUAAACAUAUUCAGAAGUUCAACAUUGGGGAUGGACUACUCUUCAAUAAAUUUUGGUGUAAUGUAACCCACAUUUAUUAUCUUUUUCUUUUGUAUCUCACCACAGCUGAAUCUUUUUCUUUUAUUGUAACUUAUCUAUGAUGUUUGCUAGCAUAGAAUUGUGGGAGCUGCUAAAAUGGACCGUGGUCCGCAACAGAUCACAUUUUUCAUUCAAUCUCAAUCUCUAUUACACUCUUUCACAAA